UAAUACAUAAGGGAAAGAGAUACAUAGUUGGCUUACAAUCGCCACUUCACACAAUUACAUGAAUAAAGCAUUACAUCAUCCAGAUACAAUCAAGGUCCGACUACGGAACCAAAAUGAAAGAAGAACCCCAAAUGCGACAAAGGUCCCCAAUCGACCCCAACUGGGCUCCACUACUGAUCAACUAGAACGAAACAACACAAAGGGCAAGAUCUUCAUCGAGCUCCUCCUUGAGCUUGAAUGCGUCACCUGCUCGGUAACAUAGGCACCUGCAAACUGGUUUUUGGAAGUAACUGGUGAGCCACGAGGACUCAACAAUCCCAUUACCAUGGGUAUCAAGACUAGCAAAGCUUAAUGGGAAAGGAAGGGGUAAAGUGGUGAGGUUGUAGCAGCGACUAAGCAUGAUAUGGUGGCUAACCAACGCAAAUAAGAGCGAGAAGAGAACAAGCGGAACGGCCGUGAAGCUAGCAAUGAUCAAGAGGUGAUCCUGAACACCUACUUACGUCAAACAUAACACAGAAACCGUGUUCACUUCCCGGACUCCGCCAAGAAGAGACCAUCACGGCUACACACUCGGUUGAUGCGUUUUAAUACGGAUCAAGUGUCAAGUUAUCUACAACCGGACAUUAACAAAUUCCCAUCUGCCACAUAACCGCGGGCGCGGCUCUCGAAAGUUUAUACCCUGCAGGGGUGUCCCAACUUAGCCCAUGACAAGCUCUCGCGAUCAUCGAAGGAAUAGACCUUCACCCGAGACACUCCGAUCAGACUCGGUAUCCCGGUACAUCAAGACAUUUCGACAAUGGUAAAACAAGACCAGCAAAGCCGCUUGAUGCACCGACAAUCCCGAUAGGAGCUGCACAUAUCUCGUUCUCAGGGCAACACCGGAUAGGUCAGCCUACGAGUAAAACCAGCCCUCGAGUUGCCCCGAGGUGGCCCCGCAGUCUGCCCGGUUCGGACCAACACUUAGACAAGCACUGGCCCGGGGGGGGGGGGCUAAAUAAAGAUGACCCUUGGGUUAAUUACUCCCAAGGGAAAAGUAGGUGGUGGUGAGGCAAAUGGUAAAAGGCAAUGUUGGGCCUUGCUGGACAAGUUUUAUUCAAAGCGAACUGUCAGGGGGGUCCCAUAAAUCACCCGACCGCGUUAGGGACGCAAAAUCCGGGAACAUAACACCGGUAUGACGGAAACUAGGGCGGCAAGAGUGGAACAAAACACCAGGCAUAAGGCCGAGCCUUCCACCCUUUACCAAGUAUAUAGAUGCAUUAAUAAUAUAAGAGAUAUUGUGAUAUCCCAACAUAAACCCUGUCCACCAUGGAGAAAUCUUCAACUUCACCUGCAACUAGCAAUGCUAUAAGAGGGGCUGAGCAAAGCGGGAACAUAGCCAAACAAUGGUUUGCUAGGAAUGGUGUCAAAGGUUAGAGGUUCAUGGCAAUAUGGGAUGGCUUGAUAAACAGGUAAUAGGUAGCGCAGCAUUGCGAUAGAACGAAGCAACUAGCAUAGCAAUGAUAGUAGUGAGAUCCAGGGUAGCGGUCAUCUUGCCUGAAAUCCCGCAAGGAAGAAGAACGAGUCCAUGAAGAAGAUGAACGGAUGAAGCCGAACCAAACGUAGACGAACGAAUCCUCACGAACGCAACGAAACAGGAACUAACAAGAAGAAGCACACAACAUAGGUAAACACCCCACACAAGAACAAGACAUGAUGCACAACAAGCAUGAUGCAUGACCAAGCUACAUGAAGCUACUCAUGGCAAGAGAUGAUGCAAACAAGAACAACACAUCAAGGCAAGUUUAAAUGAGGCCGGAAACAACGUAUAACAAUUCCGGUAAGUCCUCAUAUGCAAUUUUCGAAAUAGGUCCAGAACUGAAUAAACCUUAUGUUCAAGUAGUUAAACAGCAAGUUAAGAUGCACCACUAUGAUCUACACGAAAUUCUAGUCAAGUUACAUAUAAAGUUCAUUAGAUUCGGAGCUACGGCCUAGAAGAUAUGAGCAAAACAAGUUAAACAUGACAUUGAUGCAAAAUGCAUACAAACAUCAAGCAAACACCUCAAAACAAGGAUGCAACAUGAUAAUAUGAAGCUACAUGCAAAAUCAAGCAAGUUUCAUAUAGAGCACACUCAAAACGGAGCAACGGUUCAACACCCACACACUAUACAAGUCAUAGCAACAAUCUGUCCAAAACAGCAACUAGGCAUCUUACAAGCAUCAAAACAACAUGCUACAGCACCCCAACAUAAUAACAAAAGGCAUGGGCAUGAAGUACACGUAAGGCAUAACAAAACAUGAACACUGAGCUAUCUCCAGAAACAACUAGAACAUGCUCAAAAACACAUGGAGAUAUUGCAAAUAAUAACAGUUUCAGACUUUAGCAGAAAUAACAUCAGGUUGCAAUGUUUAGAGCUAUCAAACAACAUGUUACAGGAACUUAUCAUGGCAAACAAAGGCAUGGCAUGAUUCUACUCAAAGCAUAUAUCAAUAGUCCCUUGCUGACCAUAAGCCAAAAAGGACUAGAGGAUAUGAUGGCACCCAUGUAAACAUAGCAAGUUUUAUUACAGAUUUAAACAUGGCAGGAACAACAAUAAGUAGGCAUGUUCGUGAGCUCGAAACACUCACUACAGAGCAAUACAUGGCAUGGCAAGGCAACCAAUAGUAAGAAGGCAUGUUUAUGAAGCUAAGCAUGGGAAGAGCAAGGUCAUAGCAUACACGGAUCAACUACAACGACCUCGUGAAAAUUGAAUCUCAUGCAAACAAUCUGUCAGGAAACAUUUUCAAGCAACUUUGGAACAAGAAAUGAACAUGUUCCGGCAGGCUAUAAUUGCAACCAAGAGCACGAAUGGAUAGAGCAAGACAUGUAUAUCAAAACAUGUUUAUAGAGCAUCUCCAUAUUAUGCAUAGAUUGAUUAGUGGAAGCAUGUUAACAUGGCAUCAAAAUGUAACAGAAUCUGUCAGGAAAACAGCAACAGCAACUACCCUACUUUACAAGCUCAAAGCACUCAGCACACAACUCACAAAAAUACAAGGUCAACACCUCUGGAAAGAUGGCAUGGCAUAGUCCAACAUUCAUGUAGAGCUCAACCUCAUAGGAUGCACACAUAAAUCAUGGCAAAAGUGAUAAAACAGCAAGUUAUAACAGUUUCAGCAGAUUAACAUCCUGAAUCACUCUUCCAACAGCAUUUCGGGCAUCAAGAUGAGCUCAAAUGAAAAUGAUGCAAUGGAAUGAAAUGAUGUACUCGUCGAGGCGAACAAUUUGACAUAUUAUACGCAUGAAACGGAGCUACGGAUGCAGAGAUGUGAUGCUAUGAAAAUGCAAGAAAAUAACUGAAAUCUGGGACUUCGAGGAUUUCGGGGGUCAACCUGCGGGUUGCACGGUUUACGAGGCGGCGGCACGAGCUCGCCGGAGGGUUCGCCGGAGGAGGCCGAGGGCGGCGGAUCUGGCCGAUCCUCGCCGGAUCUGGCGCCGGCGAGGGUGGGGCGACCGGAGAAGGCAUGGGCGGCGGCGCGGGCUCGGGAGCUCCUCUCCCUGGAGCUCGGCGCGGAGGUCGGCGGGGCGGCCGCGGCAUACGCCGGCGCGGAAGGCGGCGCGGCCCGGCGGAGGGCGGCGCGGGGCUUCGGUCGCCGGAGCGAGGAGCGGGGGCGGCGCGCUCGGGAGCUGGCGGAGUGCGGCGAUGGGGAGAGGCGCGGGGGCGCCNNNNNNNNNNNNNNNNNNNNNNNNNNNNNNNNNNNNNNNNNNNNNNNNNNNNNNNNNNNNNNNNNNNNNNNNNNNNNNNNNNNNNNNNNNNNNNNNNNNNNNNNNNNNNNNNNNNNNNNNNNNNNNNNNNNNNNNNNNNNNNNNNNNNNNNNNNNNNNNNNNNNNNNNNNNNNNNNNNNNNNNNNNNNNNNNNNNNNNNNNNNNNNNNNNNNNNNNNNNNNNNNNNNNNNNNNNNNNNNNGGGUGGAAGCGGCGGCGCCACAUGGCGGCGCGGGAGUGGGUGCGGGCGGCGGCGGAGCUGACGUGGCAAGCCCUGAUUGGGCGGAGUGAGGUGUCCGGCGGACGUGUCCGGCCGGGGCGGACAUGUCCCGCGGCGCGGAGAGGAGCGGGGCUAGGGUUUGAUCUGCGCGAAAAUGGAAGGGGAGGGCCUUUAAAUAGGUAGAGGGAGCUAGGAGAGUCCAAAUGAGGUGCGGUUUUCGGCCACGCGAUCGUGAUCGAACGACCGAGAACAUGGAGGGGAGCUAGAUGGGUUUUGGGCCACUUUGGAAGGGGUGUUGGGCUGCAACAAAAGAGGCUUUCACGGUUACCCGGUUAACCGUUGGAGUACCAAACGACCUCCAAAUGGCACGAAACUUGACAGGCGGUCUACCGGUGCUAUACCAUGGCUGCUUGGCAAACCUCGAGCCAUUCUGAGAAAGUUUAAUACCCGCUCACAACAGGAGAGAAGAAGGGGACGCCGGAUGACAUAGGUGUGCCGGAUUGCAAAACGGACAACGGGGAAAAGGCUCGGAUGCAUGAGACGAACACGUAUGCAAAAUGAAAUGCACAUGAUGACAUGAUAUGAAAUGCAGAUGAUGACAUGGCAAACUGCAACACGCAAGCAAAUGACAUGGCAACGACGGUGAAUAACUGGCGAACACCUGGCGCAAUGAAUCCGGGGCGUUACAAUACUCCACCACUACGAGAGGAUCUCGUCCCGAGAUCUAGGAUGGCACCGGAGGGAAAAAACGGAAGAGGAAUAGAAGAGGUAAACUAAGUUGCUUCUUUGACGAACGAGUGAAACCAACAAACCUUGAGAGGUCGAACAAAAUGAAAGAAAGAAAACAACGAAGAUGAACAAAGUUGAAAGCACUCUGUUAGAAGAGGAACAUGGGAUACGACGAGAACCAAGAGGUUUAGUGACAAGAUAGAUAUUGAAACCACUCCGGUUAAAACUAGAUAGAGAAGGAGUAAGAAUGAUAUAAUUUGGGCAGCACUCCGACUGAAAGAAGAAGGAAAACUAGAUAGGAUGAGAUGAUAUUGAUGAGAUGAAAAGAUAAUGAAUGAGAACACCACACUGCGGUUAAAUGGAUAAGCAAGAAAAGAACAUGACCUCACAAUUCGACAUGAUGAGUGAAGAGAGCAAACGUAAUGCCUUCAGAAGAAAGAAUAGAAGGUAAAUCAUUGGAACAAAAGAAUGGAGAAGAAAAUGCCAACUUCUGCCACAAUUGAGCUUGGAAAUCAUCCUUGCAAAGGAGAAUCGAACGGAGAUGUUGGAAAAACAACAACGAGAAGCACAAGCUUGUUGUGGGCUUAUGGCAAACAUCUCAAGACUAUGAGGUGACAACCGGCCACUAAUGCAAACCAUUGAUUGCUUGAGAUCAACGAAGAGAUGCAAAACUGCUUUCGCCGAGAUGAUAGAGAGACAACUUGGAUCAUAGAUAAACACCACAAAUAGCAACAUUCCUUAGGAAAGGCUUUGGGUGAAAUCUUUACCAAGAUAACUCCAAAGAAGAGAUUGAUGGAUUUAAAAUACCUCACUUUUGACAAUAAUAUGAAUCAUGAAACAUGAAGGAAAUUGUCAAGAGUGACAUAACACCACCUCAAAAGAUAAGGUAGAAAGAAUUGCACUUUGGAAUGCAAGAAGAAGAAUACUUGAGCUCCUCAAAACAAAACAUGUGUUGAACACCAUGUUUAUUUUAGAGUAUAGCUUGGCAGAUCAUAACUUCAAGAGAAAUCUUGAAGAACAAUUGAAGAAUGAAAAGAAUCCUUGACGAACCAUCAUGUAGAACCUCCAUGAAGAACUCCGGUAAACAAAAGGAAUGAAAAGAAAGAGAAAUUGAAAAACACAAGGUGAAUCCUUGCAAUGAUUUAGAUGGAUCUCCGUGAUAAUUAGAGCUUGGAACUCCGGGAAAAAGAGAAGAUGAAACAAAUGAAACCGAGAAUUUUAAGGGCCUCCGGAAUAAAGAAUUAAUCACUUGGAUGAACAAGAACAAGAAUUAUGUUAUGCUUAUCCUUCACCAAUUAAAUUGAUGAGAAUCAACGGAUUUGGCAUACUACUUAUUCUCGUAGAAAGGAUUAAAAGAGAUAUAUCAAAACUUCAGAAGGUCUUCAACGAACCACCGGUAGGAUUGGAACAACAAAUGAAUAUUUGAUAUGGUAACGAAGGAAGUGAAAAUCUUGAAUGAACCACCGUAAGAAUUGAAAAAGAGAGUAGCAAAGGCACAAUUCACCGGAAGAAUUGGAGAACGAAUGAAGAUACUUGAGGGGAUUUAGAUACAUGAGAACGAAGAGAUCAUGAACUGAUUAGAGGGUAUUAGAAUGAUGCACUGGAAGAAUUCAAGAACGAGAGCUGAAAACUGAGAAUGAAGAAUUAUGACAUGAUGGCCUUCGGAGGAAAGAAAUGGAAACAACUCAAGAAAUCCUCCGAAUGGUAAGAAAAGAAUUCUCACAAUCAAAACAAUUAUGAGGAUAGCAUGAAGCUAGAACCAUGAAUAUUCAAGAGAAUGGACCAAGAUUUAAGAGGAACUCUUCUUCGGUCUUCAAAUGAUGAGAAUGACAAUGAGAAACACCACCAAGAAUUAUUGAGGCACACCGGAAGAAUCAAAAGCGAAGAGGUUGAGCCAACUAUGAAAAGAAUUUGAAAGAUCUUGGAGAAAAGCAUGUGACUGAUGAAAAUUCAUUCUUACGUCAAACUUGGAGAAGAAUUUAGGAUAGCUCUGGGAAAAUAGAAGAGUCAGGUAAGAUCCUGGAAAAAGACCUGUGGGUUAGGGCCCACUCAAAAGAACACCGUUGAAAAGAUUUAAAAGAGAUGUUGCACCGGUUGAAUUAAAUGACUUGAAUGGGAUACCAAUCUCGAAAGAGCUUGAAUGAAUGCAGAGUGGAAACACGAAUCUUCGAGAUAUCUUGAGCACUCCGGAAUAACAAAUAGCGAGAAGUAGAAUGAUAAUGAGGUGCACCGGAAUGAGAAGACAUUGAAACGAGGAAAGGGAUAUGAUGAAUAUCAAAAGCUUGAAUUGGAUCCACCAGAGAAGAAUACGAGAAUGAAGAAUGAUGAAUUUGAAGCUCGUGAGCAUCUUCAUGGGAAAUCACCGGAUAAGAAUAUUGAUUGAAAAGAGUGAAGUGACUUCACAUGAAUAAAUGGAUACUUGAUUAAGAAAUCUGUGUCCUUGAAGAAAAAGGGUGGGUGGGCGGGAAAACAAAGACAACCUGGGAUGGAUGAAACAAACACCGUUGAGAAAAACUUAGAAUUGAUCUUGCGGAUGGGGAGAAUGAUCGGAUCCACUUGAAGAGAAACACGCCGGUUGAAAAGGAUUGACAUGACAAUCUCGAUUGUCGAGAAGGAUUGGUAUUCACAUCGGAGUAUGAGAACACCAUUUAGGAAAGGUAUGGAAUCCACACUUGACAACGAAGCAACUCGAAUACCACAAUAAAACAAAACAAAGGAUUGGCUUGCAGAAUAAGCCGGAACAAACAUAUGAUAGAGAUUUCGUCCAAAGUUUUCGUGGUGGGGCCUACAUGGGCUCAAUCGUACAACACCAUCAUGUACAAGGCAGUGCACAUGACAUACGAAGCGUCCCCGAGUCGGCAUAGCCAAGGACUCUUUAAGACACAACGAUACCACUGUAAAACCAACCGUGAAUAGGCAGACCACUAGAUGUCGAACCCCAAUUUCAUAUCAUACAUCCGUCGGAAAGAUAUCCUAAGAGCUACUUGAAUUCCCACCUAUGAAACUCCCGAAAUUUUCCGGUUAUGCAAUCAGGUGUUGGGGAUACAGGGGAGCAAUAUAUAUCUCACACAAACUAACAAUCCCUACAUCCAGCUGUAUCCAUCCGUCAACACAUAACCAAGAAACCUUCGGAAAUCGUGUACCUCAACCUUCAAAAAGCAUCCGUUAUACGAGUCAUGGCAAUACUCCCGUACUCACCUCAGUACUGGGUUAGCGGGGUUAUCUCACCAACAACUGCAUAAAAGAGAUUUUCGAUGUCGGCGUACUAAACUCAGGUAUUCCAGAACUGCAACGAUAAAAUUAUGACGACAACACCUCAGAGCUCAACUGCCCGGGACACUGCCACAACCCCUAAAUGUCAGGAGGCACCAAGAACAAUGUUCUCGUCAUAAGAAUAUCGGAUCGAUUCCAAGAUACCCGCGUGAUCCUAAAAAUUUUUUUAGUGAAAUUUGAGAAGAGAAGAGUCAAAACUCUACGUCAGGAUACCUCACCAGAGCGAUGAAGGGACUGAGGAGUAAAAAGAAUUCCUAACUCUCCGAUAUAUAUAAUCCUAAAUGACUCAAAACAUUUUUCUAGACACAACUCGGCCGCUAAAAGCGAUCAAGCAGUGGGGCUCCUAAGGUCGGGGAAGGCUCUGAUUACCAACUUAUAACGCCCUCGAUGCGGCUAUAUCUUCCACGUGUCGAAGCACGACUUAGAGGCAUAACCGCAUUGAAAGCAAUGUCGCAAGUGAGGUAAUCUUCACACAACCCAAGUAAUACAUAAGGGAAAGAGAUACAUAGUUGGCUUACAAUCGCCACUUCACACAAUUACAUGAAUAAAGCAUUACAUCAUCCAGAUACAAUCAAGGUCCGACUACGGAACCAAAAUGAAAGAAGAACCCAAAAUGCGACAAAGGUCCCCGAUCGACCCCAACUGGGCUCCACUACUGAUCAACUAGAACGAAACAACACAAAGGGCAAGAUCUUCAUCGAGCUCCUCCUUGAGCUUGAAUGCGUCACCUGCUCGGUAACAUAGGCACCUGCAAACUGGUUUUUGGAAGUAACUGGUGAGCCACAAGGACUCAGCAAUCCCAUUACCAUGGGUAUCAAGACUAGCAAAGCUUAAUGGGAAAGGAAGGGGUAAAGUGGUGAGGUUGCAACAGCGACUAAGCAUGAUAUGGUGGCUAACCAACGCAAAUAAGAGCGAGAAGAGAACAAGCGGAACGGCCGUGAAGCUAGCAAUGAUCAAGAGGUGAUCCUGAACACCUACUUACGUCAAACAUAACACAGAAACCGUGUUCACUUCCCGGACUCCGCCGAGAAGAGACCAUCACGGCUACACACUCGGUUGAUGCGUUUUAAUUCGGAUCAAGUGUCAAGUUAUCUACAACCGGACAUUAACAAAUUCCCAUCUGCCACAUAACCGCGGGCACGGCUCUCGAAAGUUUAUACCCUGCAGGGGUGUCCCAACUUAGCCCAUGACAAGCUCUCGCGAUCAUCGAAGGAAUAGACCUUCACCCGAGACACUCCGAUCAGACUCGGUAUCCCGGUACAUCAAGACAUUUCGACAAUGGUAAAACAAGACCAGCAAAGCCGCCCGAUGCACCGACAAUCCCGAUAGGAGCUGCACAUAUCUCGUUCUCAGGGCAACACCGGAUAGGUCAGCCUACGAGUAAAACCAGCCCUCGAGUUGCCCCGAGGUGGCCCCGCAGUCUGCCCGGUUCGGACCAACACUUAGACAAGCACUGGCCCGGGGGGGGGGGCUAAAUAAAGAUGACCCUUGGGUUAAUUACUCCCAAGGGAAAAGUAGGUGGUGGUGAGGCAAAUGGUAAAAGGCAAUGUUGGGCCUUGCUGGACAAGUUUUAUUCAAAGCGAACUGUCGGGGGGGUCCCAUAAAUCACCCGACCGCGUUAGGGACGCAAAAUCCGGGAACAUAACACCGGUAUGACGGAAACUAGGGCGGCAAGAGUGGAACAAAACACCAGGCAUAAGGCCGAGCCUUCCACCCUUUACCAAGUAUAUAGAUGCAUUAAUAAUAUAAGAGAUAUUGUGAUAUCCCAACAUAAACCCUGUCCACCAUGGAGAAAUCUUCAACUUCACCUGCAACUAGCAACGCUAUAAGAGGGGCUGAGCAAAGCGGGAACAUAGCCAAACAAUGGUUUGCUAGGAAUGGUGUCAAAGGUUAGAGGUUCAUGGCAAUAUGGGAUGGCUUGAUAAACAGGUAAUAGGUAGCGCAGCAUAGCGAUAGAACGAAGCAACUAGCAUAGCAAUGAUAGUAGUGAGAUCCAGGGUAGCGGUCAUCUUGCCUGAAAUCCUGCAAGGAAGAAGAACGAGUCCAUGAAGAAGAUGAACGGAUGAAGCCGAACCAAACGUAGACGAACGAAUCCUCACGAACGCAACGAAACAGGAACUAACAAGAAGAAGCACACAACAUAGGUAAACACCCCACACAAGAACAAGACAUGAUGCACAACAAGCAUGAUGCAUGACCAAGCUACAUGAAGCUACUCAUGGCAAGAGAUCAUGCAAACAAGAACAACACAUCAAGGCAAGUUUAAAUGAGGCCGGAAACAACGUAUAACAAUUCCGGUAAGUCCUCAUAUGCAAUUUUCGAAAUAGGUCCAGAACUGAAUAAAACUUAUGUUCAAGUAGUUAAACAGCAAGUUAAGAUGCACCACGAUGAUCUACACGAAAUUCUAGUCAAGUUACAUAUAAAGUUCAUUAGAUUCGGAGCUACGGCCUAGAAGAUAUGAGCAAAACAAGUUAAACAUGACAUUGAUGCAAAAUGCAUACAAACAUCAAGCAAACACCUCAAAACAAGGAUGCAACAUGAUAAUAUGAAGCUACAUGCAAAAUCAAGCAAGUUUCAUAUAGAGCACACUCAAAACGGAGCAACGGUUCAACACCCACACACUAUACAAGUCAUAGCAACAAUCUGUCCAAAACAGCAACUAGGCAUCUUACAAGCAUCAAAACAACAUGCUACAACACCCCAACAUAAUAACAAAAGGCAUGGGCAUGAAGUAAACGUAAGGCAUAAAAAACAUGAACACUGAGCUAUCUCCAGAAACAACUAGAACAUGCUCAAAAACACAUGGAGAUAUUGCAAAUAAUAACAGUUUCAGACUUUAGCAGAAAUAACAUCAGGUUGCAAUGUUUAGAGCUAUCAAACAACAUGUUACAGGAACUUAUCAUGGCAAACAAAGGCAUGGCAUGAUUCUACUCAAAGCAUAUAUCAAUAGUCCCUUACUGACCAUAAGCCAAAAAGGACUAGAGGAUAUGAUCGCACCCAUGUAAACAUAGCAAGUUUUAUUACAGAUUUAAACAUGGCAGGAACAACAAUAAGUAGGCAUGUUCGUGAGCUCGAAACACUCACUACAGAGCAAUACAUGGCAUGGCAAGGCAACCAAUAGUAAUAAGGCAUGUUUAUGAAGCUAAGCAUGGCAAGAGCAAGGUCAUAGCAUACACGGAUCAACUACAACGACCUCGUGAAAAUUGAAUCUCAUGCAAACAAUCUGUCAGGAAACAUUUUCUAGCAAAUUUGAAACAAGAAAUGAACAUGUUCCCGCAGGCUAUAAUUGCAACCAAGAGCAUGAAUGGAUAGAGCAAGACAUGUAUAUCAAAACAUGUUUAUAGAGCAUCUCCAGAUUAUGCAUAGAUUGAUUAGUGGAAGCAUGUUAACAUGGCAUCAAAAUGUAACAGAAUCUGUCAGGAAAACAGCAACAGCAACUACCCUACUUUACAAGCUCAAAGCACUCAGCACACAACUCACAAAAAUACAAGGUCAACACCUAUGGAAAGAUGGCAUGGCAUAGUCCAACAUUCAUGUAGAGCUCAACCUCAUAGGAUGCACACAUAAAUCAUGGCAAAAAUGAUAAAACAGCAAUUUAUAACAGUUUCAGCAGAUUAACAUCCUGAAGCACUCUUCCAACAGCAUUUCGGGCAUCACGAUGAGCUCAAAUGAAAAUGAUGCAAUGGAACGAAAUGAUGUACUCGUCGAGACGAACAAUUUGACAUAUUAUACGCACGAAACGGAGCUACGGAUACAGAGAUG
RNAcentral lists this long non-coding RNA (11701 nucleotides) under Triticum aestivum (bread wheat). Its description in RNAcentral is "long non-coding RNA (TAES_LNC016373)". The record is from RNAcentral. Lineage: Eukaryota; Viridiplantae; Streptophyta; Magnoliopsida; Poales; Poaceae.